Molecule: RNA transcript, 2347 nt
Organism: Canis lupus familiaris (dog)
Lineage: Eukaryota; Metazoa; Chordata; Mammalia; Carnivora; Canidae
Gene: POC1A
Gene name: POC1 centriolar protein A
Exons: 13
Source: RefSeq, a predicted model, not a curated record
AUUUCCCAGGGGAUUAGUGACAGUGGGCAGAGACCUCUGGCGGCAGCCUCCGUGGGCUGCUUGGCCUGGUGGAGCUGCGCGCCGAGGCUUUGAAACAGACCACACCGCUCUGCUUCCGGCCGGGAGACAGAAAGCUGAGGCGCUGCGUCUCCUUUAACCGCCGUGGGCGGGGCGUGGCGACGCGACCCGCGUUGCUAUUGGCGGCGGUUGGGGGGCGCGGAAACUGAACGCGCAGCAACGGCCUACGCCGACUUCUCCGGCGCCUUGGGCGCCCCGGGCCCGCCAUGGCUGCGCCUUGCCCUGAGGACCCCUCACUGGAGAGGCACUUUAAGGGCCACCGAGAUGCAAUUACCUCUGUGGACUUCAGUCUCAACACGAAGCAGCUGGCCAGUGGCUCCAUGGACUCAUGCCUCAUGGUCUGGCACAUGAAGCCCCAGUCACGCGCCUACCGCUUUGCGGGCCACAAGGAUGCUGUCACCUGUGUGAACUUCUCCCCUUCGGGACACCUGCUUGCCUCAGGCUCCCGAGACAAGACUGUCCGGAUCUGGAUACCCAAUGUCAAAGGCGAGUCUACCGUGUUUCGUGCACACACAGCCACAGUGAGGAGCGUCCACUUCUGCAGUGAUGGCCAGUCUCUUGUGACGGCCUCUGACGACAAAACAGUUAAGGUGUGGUCAACUCAUCGCCAGAAAUUCCUGUUCUCCCUAAGCCAGCACAUCAACUGGGUACGCUGCGCCAGGUUCUCCCCUGACGGGCGGCUCAUCGUGUCUGCCAGCGAUGAUAAGACUGUAAAGCUGUGGGACAAGACUAGCCGGGAGUGUGUCCACUCUUACUGUGAGCAUGGCGGCUUUGUCACCUACGUGGACUUCCACCCCAGUGGCACGUGCAUCGCCGCUGCCAGCAUGGACAACACAGUGAAGGUGUGGGACGUGCGGACGCACCGCCUCUUGCAGCACUACCAGCUGCACAGCGCAGCAGUGAAUGCCCUCUCCUUCCACCCAUCUGGAAACUACCUGCUCACGGCCUCCAGCGACUCGACCCUGAAGAUCCUGGACCUCAUGGAGGGCCGGCUGCUCUACACGCUCCAUGGGCAUCAGGGUCCAGCCACCACUGUUGCCUUUUCAAGAACGGGGGAGUAUUUUGCUUCUGGAGGUUCUGAUGAACAAGUGAUGGUUUGGAAGAGUAACUUUGAUGUUGUGGACUAUAGGGAAGUCAUAAAAGUGCACAGGCCUCCAGCCCCACUGGCCACCUCCGGGAAUCUGAAUGUACAAACAAGAUGUGAAGACUGCUGGCCAGAAGUGGAUUUCCCCGUCCCUCCAGGAGGAGGCAGGAGUCAGGAGUCGGUGCAGAGCCAGCUCCAGGAGCCUAUCAGCAUGCCCCAGACGCUGACCAGCACGCUGGAGCACAUCGUGGGCCAGCUGGACGUCCUCACCCAGGCUGGUGUGACCCAGUGAUUGAGUCCUCCUCUCUGGAUGUUCAUGGUCCAUCUGCGCCAGUCUGAAGGACCAGUCUCGGUCCUCUUCAGUGGCAUUUCUAUGCAAAGCAAAGGCCUGGAGGUCGGUCAGCUGAGUGCACGCCCAUGAAGAGGGAUGACUCAGCUUGCUUGGGCAAGACAGUCUCCAUCCUAGAGCAACGGCUGACACUGACGGAAGACAAGCUGAAGCAGUGUCUGGAGAACCAGCAGUUAAUCAUGCAGAGAACAACACCAUGAUCAGGGGAGCAAGAAUCAAGAGCUCGGUCGAUUUUGGGGGGUGGCAGGCCAGGGAUUUGUACUAUGGGACUUGGGUAAAUAAACGAAGGGGAUUUGGCUCUGUGGGAAUCCCAUCUAUCCCUGAGCCCCAGAGGUUAUGCCCUUCUCUCCUCCACCUGCCCUCUGCACCUGGAGGCUCUCCUGGCAGUGGAAGGCCCCCAUAGGCAGGGCCUGCACUUGCAGGAUGGACUGUGUUUGGUUUAAUGUGAAGGAGUCACUUGAAAACGUUUGCUACCUCAGAGUCCUGACAUGCCCUGAGAUCGCCGCUCCCGGCCAGAGGCGGUAGCCCCAAGCCCCCUUACGGAGUUUGUCCCCCUUUCUGCCAUAUGAUUGGCUCUUCCCACCCACAACAGCUUAGCAAUGGCCUGCCCAUGGGAUGGGUGAGCCAGGAGUUUUCUCCAAAUCUGACAAAAGGCCCAGCAUGGGCCCAUCUGAGUCAGGUUUACCCAGGAACAAGCACUCAGGGAGGUGGUGGCUUUGCAGUGGCCUUGACUUCUGCUCCACACCUGUUCACUGGGACUGGUGGCUUCCUCCUCUGUAUGCAUGAGGGUGAAGGAAUCUGAAAUUAAAACGGAUUUGAUGGAGCUUGUCAUAAAA